UACGGGAGGCAGCAGUGGGGAAUAUUGGACAAUGGGGGCAACCCUGAUCCAGCCAUGCCGCGUGUGUGAAGAAGGCUUUCGGGUUGUAAAGCACUUUCAGUGAGGAGGAAAACCUUAUGGCUAAUAUCCAUGAGGCUUGACGUUACUCACAGAAGAAGCACCGGCUAACUCCGUGCCAGCAGCCGCGGUAAU
RNAcentral lists this ribosomal RNA (192 nucleotides) under Marinobacter sp. L8-H07. RNAcentral describes it as "partial 16S ribosomal RNA". It matches the Rfam family "Bacterial small subunit ribosomal RNA", at positions 340 to 524 of the family's 1533-position model. The record is from RNAcentral. Lineage: Bacteria; Pseudomonadati; Pseudomonadota; Gammaproteobacteria; Pseudomonadales; Marinobacteraceae.